AGUCAACAUGCCCAGGGGACGUGGAUAACCUCGGGAAACUGAGGAUAAACCGCGAUAGGUCAUCACUUCUGGAAUGGGUAAUGACUUAAACCUAUAUGGCCCCUGGAUUGGACUGCGGCCGAUCAGGCUGUUGGUGAGGUAAUGGCCCACCAAACCUGUAACCGGUACGGGCUCUGAGGGGAGGAGCCCGGAGAUGGGCACUGAGACAAGGGCCCAGGCCCUAUGGGGCGCAGCAGGCGCGAAACCUCUGCAAUAGGCGAAAGCUUGACAGGGUUACUCUGAGUGAUUUCCGUUAAGGAGAUCUUUUGGCACCUCUAAAAAUGGUGCAGAAUAAGGGGUGGGCAAGUCUGGUGUCAGCCGCCGCGGUAAUACCAGCACCCCGAGUGGUCGGGACGUUUAUUGGGCCUAAAGCAUCCGUAGCCGGUUCUACAAGUCUUCCGUUAAAUCCACCUGCUUAACAGAUGGGCUGCGGAAGAUACUAUAGAGCUAGGAGGCGGGAGAGGCAAGCGGUACUCGAUGGGUAGGGGUAAAAUCCGUUGAUCCAUUGAAGACCACCAGUGGCGAAGGCGGCUUGCCAGAACGCGCUCGACGGUGAGGGAUGAAAGCUGGGGGAGCAAACCGGAUUAGAUACCCGGGUAGUCCCAGCUGUAAACGAUGCAGACUCGGUGAUGAGUUGGC
RNAcentral lists this ribosomal RNA (678 nucleotides) under uncultured crenarchaeote. RNAcentral describes it as "bacterial SSU rRNA". It matches the Rfam family "Archaeal small subunit ribosomal RNA", at positions 102 to 783 of the family's 1478-position model. The record is from RNAcentral. Lineage: Archaea; Thermoproteati; Thermoproteota.